This 132-nucleotide small nucleolar RNA is filed under the name Echinops telfairi (small Madagascar hedgehog). RNAcentral describes it as "Small nucleolar RNA SNORA61 (ENSETEG00000025923.1)". Lineage: Eukaryota; Metazoa; Chordata; Mammalia; Afrosoricida; Tenrecidae. The record is from RNAcentral.
CCUUUCCAGAUGCCUUCCCUGUCAGGUCUAAAUAUGGAUCUGAGUGGCCAAAAAUGGAGGAAACGUAAAAUUGUAGUCGGCUUGGAGUCUUUAGUGACAUACAAGUUCAUUUGACGCCUAUAGAAAAAAAAA